This 377-nucleotide ribosomal RNA is filed under the name uncultured bacterium. RNAcentral describes it as "bacterial SSU rRNA". It matches the Rfam family "Bacterial small subunit ribosomal RNA", at positions 27 to 392 of the family's 1533-position model. The record is from RNAcentral.
GAUUGAACGCUGGCGGCGUGCCUAACNCAUGCAAGUCGAACGCGAAAACCCCGCAAGGGGUUAGUAGAGUGGCAAACGGGUGAGUAACGCGUGGGUGACCUACCUCAGAGUGGGGGAUAACCUUCCGAAAGGAGGGCUAAUACCGCAUGACAUACCGUGGUUGGAUACACGGAUAUCAAAGCCGGGGAUCGCAAGACCUGGCGCUUGGAGAGGGGCCCGCGUCCGAUUAGCUAGUUGGUGAGGCACGGCUCACCAAGGCGACGAUCGGUAUCCGGCCUGAGAGGGCGGACGGACACACUGGGACUGAGACACGGCCCAGACUCCUACGGGAGGCAGCAGUGGGGAAUUGUUCGCAAUGGGCGCAAGCCUGACGACGC